UACAGGGGGUGCAAACGUUGCUCGGAAUCAUUGGGCGUAAAGCGCACGUAGGCGGUCUGUUAUGUCGGAUGUGAAAGCCCUUGGCUUAACUGAGGAAGUGCAUCCGAAACUGGCAGGCUAGAGUACUAAAGAGGGUCGCGGAAUUCCCGGUGUAGAGGUGAAAUGCGUAGAUAUCUGGAGGAACACCGGUGGCGAAGGCGGCAUUCUGGACUGUAACUGACACUGAGGAACGAAAGCCAGGGGAGCAAACGGG
This 253-nucleotide ribosomal RNA is filed under the name uncultured bacterium. RNAcentral describes it as "partial 16S ribosomal RNA". It matches the Rfam family "Bacterial small subunit ribosomal RNA", at positions 524 to 776 of the family's 1533-position model. The record is from RNAcentral.